GACAGAGGGUGCAAACGUUGUUCGGAAUUACUGGGCGUAAAGCGCGUGUAGGCGGCCCUGUAAGUCGGGUGUGAAAUCCCACGGCUCAACCGUGGAAGUGCAUUCGAAACUACAGGGCUAGAGUUCUGGAGAGGAAGGUGGAAUGCUUGGUGUAGAGGUGAAAUUCGUAGAUAUUCGGAAGAACACCGGUGGCGAAGGCGGCUCACUGGCCCGGUACUGACGCUGAGAUACGAAAGCGUGGGGAGCAAACAGG
This 253-nucleotide ribosomal RNA is filed under the name uncultured bacterium. RNAcentral describes it as "partial 16S ribosomal RNA". It matches the Rfam family "Bacterial small subunit ribosomal RNA", at positions 524 to 776 of the family's 1533-position model. The record is from RNAcentral.